Molecule: ribosomal RNA, 310 nt
Filed under: Staphylococcus lutrae
Lineage: Bacteria; Bacillati; Bacillota; Bacilli; Caryophanales; Staphylococcaceae
Description: bacterial SSU rRNA
Rfam family: Bacterial small subunit ribosomal RNA
Source: RNAcentral
UUUAUGGAGAGUUUGAUCCUGGCUCAGGAUGAACGCUGGCGGCGUGCCUAAUACAUGCAAGUCGAGCGAACAGAUGAGGAGCUUGCUCCUUUGACGUUAGCGGCGGACGGGUGAGUAACACGUGGGUAACCUACCUAUAAGACUGGAAUAACUCCGGGAAACCGGGGCUAAUGCCGGAUAAUAUGUUGAACCGCAUGGUUCAACAGUGAAAGACGGUUUUGCUGUCACUUAUAGAUGGACCCGCGCCGUAUUAGCUAGUUGGUGAGGUAACGGCUCACCAAGGCGACGAUACGUAGCCGACCUGAGAGGG